Molecule: ribosomal RNA, 467 nt
Filed under: uncultured Gammaproteobacteria bacterium
Lineage: Bacteria; Pseudomonadati; Pseudomonadota; Gammaproteobacteria
Description: bacterial SSU rRNA
Rfam family: Bacterial small subunit ribosomal RNA
Source: RNAcentral
AGAGUUUGACCCUGGCUCAGAUUGAACGCUGGCGGUAUGCUUAACACAUGCAAGUCGAACGGCAGCGAAGAGAGCUUGCUCUCUGUCGGCGAGUGGCGAACGGGUGAGUAACGCGUAGGAAUCUGCCCAAUAGUAGGGGACAACCCGGGGAAACCCGGGCUAAUACCGUAUACUCCUUACGAGGGAAAGUCGGGGAUCUUCGGACCUGACGCUAUUGGAUGAGCCUGCGUCUGAUUAGCUAGUUGGUGGGGUAAUGGCCUACCAAGGCGACGAUCAGUAGCUGGUCUGAGAGGAUGAUCAGCCACACUGGGACUGAGACACGGCCCAGACUCCUACGGGAGGCAGCAGUGGGGAAUAUUGGACAAUGGGGGCAACCCUGAUCCAGCAAUACCGCGUGUGUGAAGAAGGCCUUAGGGUUGUAAAGCACUUUCAGUAGGGAAGAAAAGCAUUGGGUUAAUACCCUAGUG